ACCCCUGCACAGUCCCUCUGUGCUGGCAUGGCCUCGGGACCUGGUACAGCCAUCCACAUCACUGUCAUUUCAAAGCAGCAGCAGCACUGGCUUUCAGCUGAGCCAGGUACGCCUCUCUCAGAAUGUCUGAGCUAAUGUGGAGGUCAGAAAAUUAAGACCCAGGGAGGAACAAGAGAUUACUCAAGGUCACAACCCAUUCAUUCAGAAACAUUGUGUGAGCAGCCCAGGCGAUAAUUGGCUCUGUGGUUUAAUUUUUGCAAUUCUCUAAGCAAAGUUGCUCUGUUGCCAAUGGGAAAGUUUCUCCUGGGAUCUUGGAAGUGAAGAAAGUCAAAUGGCUACAAUUUGAAGGAAACCUUAAGCCAGGAGUUCAACAACUCAUCCAGGGGGAUGAUGGAGCGAUGGGGUGAAAUCUAGCACACAGGAGAAGAAAAUGACCACAUUCCCUUGGAGGAUGCUUUUCUUGCUGUCAGUGAAGGAUGUGGAAGGUCAGAAAAAUCCCUUGGCAAAAGAUCAGCCAUAUAAGGUAAAUAUCGUCCAGGUUUACAGAUGAAGAAAAUGAAGCUCUCCGAGGAAAAUGUGCUGCUUAUUUUCUCUCCUCCCCCCUUCCUGAGGUACAUUGAUUCUCCGCUCUGAUUUGUGACCCCAGGAAGCUGCCUGCUGUGAACUGCAGUGGCCAAUGAGAGCCACUGCCAGGGAAAAGUGAGGGAGGCUGGGGUGUUUCCUCCUGCUUCUGCACUCUGUCUCUAGUAGUGGCUAGCCCCUGUUCCCAACCCUUGCUGAACCCCAGGAACACUCUCUCCCUUGGUAAAUAAUGCUUUCCCAUGGUUACCAGGUCCUGACUGCCUCCAUCAAGGAGGUGACAAUCACUUGGUAGCUCUCUUAACCCCAUCUGAGUCUCUCUUCUUUGUAAACAGUCACUGCAUUGAAGUCUAAUCAGUUGCACCAUCUGAGUUGCAUGAUCUGAGUGACAGCUUCCUAAUUGAUAUGAUAAGCAAAGUAUCCAGAAUUAGUUAACUAAAUCUAAUUGUGGUUGAGCAAUGCUGCCCCUAAGGGCUGGUUUGGGUGAGCAAGCAAGUCAAAGACAGGGCAGAGACAGUGUCUCAUCCCUCAUUCUGCCAGCAGGGAGAUGAAAUGUUGUGGCUCCAGCAGCACCGGAAUGUGUCUUGGAUCUAGAAGGAAGAGGUGGUGGUGUUAGACUAGAGGUCUGGAGAUCCUGGUUCUUGUCCUAACCCUGCCUGCAGAAUCAAUUUCCAAGUAACCUUGAGCUCUUCAUUUUCUGGGGCCCUCAGCAUUCAGAUUAAAAAAUUUUUUUUAAAAAUUCUAGUUGCUUUACAGUGUUCUGUUAAUUUCUGCUGUACAGCAAAGUAACCCAGAUAUACAUAUGUAUAUACAUUCUUUUUCUCACAAGCAUUCAAAUUUUAAUGAUUUUUAUUUUUCCCAUUAUAGUUGGUUUACAGCAUUCUGUCAAUUUUCUACUGUACAACAAAGUGACCCAGUUACACAUACAUGUAUAUAUUCUUUUUUCUCACAUUAUCAUGCUCCAUUACAAGUGAUUAGAUAUAGUUCAGAGUGCUAUACAGAAGGAUCUCAUUGCUUAUCCAUUCCAAAGGCAAUAGUUUGCAUUUAUUAACCCCAGAUUUCCAAUCUACUCCACUCCCUCCCCCUCCCCCUCCCCCUUGGCAACCAAGUCCGUGAGUUUCUUUUCUGUGGACAGGUUCAUUUGUGCCAUAUAUUAGAUUCCAGAUAUAAGUGAUAUCAUAAGGUAUUUGUCUUUCUCUUUCUGACUUACUUCACCUACUAUGAGAGUCUCUAGUUCCAUCCAUGUUGCUGCAAACGGUAUUAUUUUGUCUUUUUAUGGCUGAGUAGUAUUCCAUUGUGUAUAUAUACCACAUCUUCUUAAUCCAUUCAUCUGUCAAUGGACAUUUGGUUUGUUUCCACGUCUUGGCUAUUGUGACUAGUGCUACAAUGAACAUAUGAGUAUGUGUGUCUUUUUCAAGGAAAGUUUUGUCUGGAUAUAUGCCCACAAGUGGGAUUGCAAGCAUUCAGGUUUUAAGGGCAGAUUUUCCACCUCUUGAGCUCUCAGUGAUUACCUGCCUAGUAAGGAAAGAAUUUUCAAAAGCACAAAGCAGAACAGGUAUAUGAGGUAGCUUUGUUUUUGUGGUUAUCAGUAAUAAAGGCUCUAGGUUGUGCAGUUAACUAUUUUUCUGUCCAUUUCAGUCCUAAGCUUGGAAUAGGAUAGAAGAAAUGUUAGAGGGCGUUCCAUCUCUUGCUCUCUAAGGGCUGCCCACUUCUUUGCCAUGUUGGGCUUGGAGAGGGGAAAUCUGCCUGAUGUGGCCUCAGGUGAACCCCAUUUAAGACAUGUUUGUGUCCUGCUGGGCAGAGAGGGAGUUUCUAGCUUUUAAGAAGAUGACAAAUUAAAUCUGCAGCAGCAAUGAGCUUACCUUGGCAUUUUUCACGACUUUCUGCAGCGUUAAAAACUUUUGCCAAUACUCACAUUUAAUAGCUUCUGCCUUGGUGAAAUUAUCAAGGUUCCCAACUGUGAUUUCAAUGGUUCGAAGAGUAGGGGGGGGCAUUUGUAAAUUGCUGGCAGAAAUGAAUAGCAAUCCAUGAAAGAGAGAAAAAAUAAUUGAACAGGAACUAGAAAGGGAAAGUUUAAGUGAAAAAGGCAAAAAAAGUAUGCAUGUUUGAAUAGAUAGCUAGAUAGAUGUAUAUCUAUGUAUGUACAUGUGUUUUUUCCUUUGAAGGUUUUUUUUAUUUGAUACAGAAGGAAAACCUGGUUUAUAACAGGACCCACCUCCACCACCUCAAGCCCCAUGCACUUCUAGAAACUAGCCCCAAUAUCUCUCUAGGAACUUGUUGGGGCCUCUGUAUUUUUGUUUACAACUGAAGAUUAAGUACUCCCUGGCUUCUGAUUAGAGCCAAAAACCUGCAGUUUUAUGUUACAAUUUUUUUUUUUUUUUUUUUUAAGCCACACCUGCAGCACAUGAACGUUCCUGGGCCAGAAGUCAAAUAGGAGCUGCAGCUGCCGGCCUAGGCGACAGCCACGGCAAUACUGGAUCCAAGCUGCAUCUGCUACCUACCCUGUAGCUUGUGGCAACACCAGAUCCUUAACUCACUGAGAAAGGCCAGGUAUUGAACCCACAUCCUCAUGGAUAUUAGAUUUUUAACUCGCUGGGCCACAAGGGAACGCCUUCUCUUCCAUUUUAAAGACUGGAAACAAUUUUUUGUUAAAAGAACACACUAUGCAGUGCCAGACAAAAAUAUUAGGGUCAACCUAUGAAGUUGCCACUUUGUGAGGCCAUAGGUUGGCUAUUUUCUACCUUCAGGCUAAGCUAAUAAAUUGGUGGGGGAAGGGCACAUUUUGAAUACUGAGCUAUAACACUGUUGACUGAAAUGAAACACACUAUAAAAGUUGUGAGUUAAAUUUUAUUUGGGCACCUUACCGAGGGCUAGCAUCCUAGAGACAGCCCCUCAGAGAGCUCUGAGAAACUGCUCCCAAGAGGCCAGGGAGGAUCCAGGAGGUAUAUAUACACAUAUGCACAUAUGCAUAUAUGAGAACUUUUUGCUGGGAAAAACAUAUAGUCGGGAGUAAAAUGAUUGCUGCUAAUCAUAAAAACAGACAUCUCAAAUUAAUGAUUUUAGUGCUUUCUAUGUAUGAGAAGAUGCAAGAAUCUGGGUCACUGAAAAUUUUCCUUAGCGAUAUUUUAACUAUCCAAGGGCCAGUAUAUCCAGAGCACAGAAUGCUUCCUGUUUUUCUGCAUCCUGAAUUUCCCUCAGGGCGCGGUGUUGGUGGAUGUCUGCUGUGGCUAAUGGCUUGAUCCUUGUAGAGAUGCAUGGCAGGCAACCUUUUUUUCUCUACAACACACACAGUAUUGUGUGUCUAGUGAAACUGAAUCCCCUCCAAAUCAGAGAUCCCUUACCUAGUUUAUGCUUAAUCUCUCUACUCAAAACUUUAUUCUCUUUCUUGUGUCCUUGACUUCAAUUCUGUGCUAACUGAACACUAAUCAACCAGAAUCAGAUGACUAAGAUGGCUAUUCUAGAUGUCAUUAUUAAUGUACAAACUUAAUUUUUUUUUCCUCCAGGGCAGGAUGAACUAACAGACCCCUCACCUGGCCAGAGAAUCAUAAACCAGAGACAUCCUGACUCCUGAUGUCAAAAGACAAUGAUUAACUCCAGCCAAGCUGUUCUUCCCCUUUUAAAAAAGCCUGAGCUCAAAGAGCUAGUUGGGAGUUCCUAUUGUGGCUGAGUGGGUUAAUAUGUUACAAUAGUGUCCAUGAGGAUGCGUGUUCGAUCCCUGGCCUCACUCAGUGGGUUAAAGAUCUGGAGUUGCUGCAAGCUGUGGCUUAGGUAGCAGAUGCAGCUUGGAUCUGGGGUUGCUGUGGCGUAGGCAGGAAACUGCAGCCCCGAGGCCAGGGUCUUUUAUGUACUGCAGGUGUGGCAGUAAACAGGAAAAAAAAAAAGAAAAAAAGAAAAA
RNAcentral lists this long non-coding RNA (4474 nucleotides) under Sus scrofa (pig). RNAcentral describes it as "lncRNA (ENSSSCG00040033496.1)". The record is from RNAcentral. Lineage: Eukaryota; Metazoa; Chordata; Mammalia; Artiodactyla; Suidae.